AUGUGUAACCACAAAGGAGGUCCUGGCAGCAGAAUGCUUUAUAGAAGAGAAGAACAGCUGCAACUGGCCCAUCUCAGGAUUAAAAAAAAACACACACACAAAAAAAACAGCAAAUGUGAAAAGACACAGGAGAAAGUGAAAUGUUAUUCACGCCUCUCCUGCCGGAACUCACAAGUGGACGCAACUUCUUCCCAGUACACUGUGAAAGCAUUCAAACGCCAUGCUGAUUGUUCCCCCUGUGGUCAAAACAGAAACUUGUUUGUUUUCUCUCAAAUUUAUUUGGAAAGGAUGUUGUUACAGCAAUGCUGUUUGAAUUAUUAUAGCUAACCUUUUCCAGUGUACAUGUCCAGAGGCAUAAUUGGAUUCCCAAAAUGAACUCCAUUGACAACAGCUACAGAAGGAUGCUUCAGCUUGUUUAUUCUUAAAAUUAAUGUUGCUUUCAUUCCUUCUCUCCCCAUGCUUCUCUCUCUCUCUCUCUCUCUCUUUCUCUCUCUCUCUGGCUUGCUCACCUGCUCCCUCAAAAAUCCACUAAGUAAGUAGGGCUUAGUGAAUAGCAGAUCUCUUAAUUAUUUACAAAAAAUAAUAGCUUCAGCAGUCGAGAUGUGGUGACGGAACCGACCCCAGUCCCUGCCCUUCCCUUGUCACACUGCGUUUACCUGAGCGAUGUGUUUAGUUGGGCAGAAGAAUCCCUGUAUUUCUCACCGUUGUAUGGUCACUAUCCCUUGUGACCUCUCAGAUAAAAUUUAGUGGCAUCAAGCUCUGGUAGCCACUUCUGCUCCUGGAGCAUCGUUAUUCUUACAAAUUGUACAUCAUUAUGCUUUUAUGGGAAGGCUAUUAUACCUUGUAAAUAGUACAAGCCCAGCAGCUGGCCCAGCAGGCUGCACGGGGGCAUUGCCAGCUGACUGGACAGGAGGCUCAAGAGAAAAG
RNAcentral lists this long non-coding RNA (927 nucleotides) under Canis lupus familiaris (dog). RNAcentral's name for it is "lncRNA (ENSCAFG00030017377.1)". Lineage: Eukaryota; Metazoa; Chordata; Mammalia; Carnivora; Canidae. The record is from RNAcentral.